This 146-nucleotide ribosomal RNA is filed under the name Salmonella enterica. RNAcentral describes it as "partial 23S ribosomal RNA". It matches the Rfam family "Bacterial large subunit ribosomal RNA", at positions 1 to 136 of the family's 2925-position model. Lineage: Bacteria; Pseudomonadati; Pseudomonadota; Gammaproteobacteria; Enterobacterales; Enterobacteriaceae. The record is from RNAcentral.
GGGUUGUGAGGUUAAGCGACUAAGCGUACACGGUGGAUGCCCUGGCAGUCAGAGGCGAUGAAGGGCGUGCUAAUCUGCGAUAAGCGCUGGUAAGGUGAUAUGAACCGUUAUAACCGGCGAUACCCGAAUGGGGAAACCCAGUGUGA